AUGUUGGGUAUUUUCUUCCAUGAAACUGCUCUUCAGUUUGAUAUAAUCUGCAGGAGCAAUCCAGGAGCAUGGUGUGUCACCUAUGUCCUAAUCAAGGCAAUGAUGCUGACCUGUGACUUGACCUUCCAUGGAAAACUCUGGCUUGACGUGAGGGGGUCGUCGCUUCCAGAGAUCGUCGCCGGUCCGGUAGUCGCUUUAAGAGAUCGUCUCUCGGUCUGGUCGUCGCUUCCAGAGAUCGUCGCCCGGCCUGGUCGUCACUUCCAGGGAUGGGGAUGCCUUCACCAAAUGAGGCAAAAUCUGGCUCGCAGAUAUGUGUCGUCCAUUGGGAAGGUUUCGGUUGUAUACAUGGAAAGAAUCCAACUUGAUAUGUGGAAGGUCUAG
This 381-nucleotide ribosomal RNA is filed under the name Triticum aestivum (bread wheat). Its description in RNAcentral is "partial small subunit ribosomal RNA". Lineage: Eukaryota; Viridiplantae; Streptophyta; Magnoliopsida; Poales; Poaceae. The record is from RNAcentral.